This 506-nucleotide ribosomal RNA is filed under the name uncultured bacterium. Its description in RNAcentral is "partial 16S ribosomal RNA". It matches the Rfam family "Bacterial small subunit ribosomal RNA", at positions 29 to 523 of the family's 1533-position model. The record is from RNAcentral.
AGUGAACGCUGGCGGUAGGCCUAACACAUGCAAGUCGAACGGCAGCACAGGAGAGCUUGCUCUCUGGGUGGCGAGUGGCGGACGGGUGAGGAAUACAUCGGAAUCUACUCUGUCGUGGGGGAUAACGUAGGGAAACUUACGCUAAUACCGCAUACGACCUACGGGUGAAAGCAGGGGACCUUCGGGCCUUGCGCGAUUGAGUGAGCCGAUGGCGGAUUAGCUAGUUGGCGGGGUAAAGGCCCACCAAGGCGACGAUCCGUAGCUGGUCUGAGAGGAUGAUCAGCCACACUGGAACUGAGACACGGUCCAGACUCCUACGGGAGGCAGCAGUGGGGAAUAUUGGACAAUGGGCGCAAGCCUGAUCCAGCCAUACCGCGUGGGUGAAGAAGGCCUUCGGGUUGUAAAGCCCUUUUGUUGGGAAAGAAAUCCAGCUGGCUAAUACCCGGUUGGGAUGACGGUACCCAAAGAAUAAGCACCGGCUAACUUCGUGCCAGCAGCCGCCGUAA